CUAGUGGAGGUAAAAGGACAAAGUCAACUAUGUUAGUAUAAGCUUUCAGCAGCAUGUCAGUGUGUCAGCCUGAGUUUUUGUAGAGAGUUUUGGUGUUUCCUGUCACUGUGGGCUGCAGAGCACAGUAGUACACAGCAGAGUCAGUCACUGCAGCAGAGGAGAUCCUCAGAUUCAUUUGAGUUUUAUCCUCACUCAUGGAAGCAGACAGUCCAGACACUGGAGCUAAAAGUGUUCCUGUUGAUGUGUGAGAGAUGAGAAACUGUGGUUGUUUUCCUGGAUUUUGUCGAUACCAGAAGAAAUAAUCAUUAAGAGCAGCAGCUCUGGAGUAAUUGUUGGACAGAGUAACUGAGCUGCUCUCUAAUUUGAAGUCUUCAGUCUGAAAUGUUGUGAGUUCUUCACACAUGAAUGAAAAGAUGAGCUUUCUAUGAUUUCAUGUUUCAGUUCAGGCACAGCAGCACAGAUCUUCAGAAACCUUCAGUGUUUACCUUCAGAGAGUUUAAGCAGCUGUAGUCCUGAUGAUCAGGAGCUCAGAUGGUUUUUCAAAAACUGCACCUGAGAAGAACUCACCCCUGUAGAGUGAGACUACUUUGUUCUGAUCCGUCUUCUUCCUGUCUGGUAGACCUGGAUUAUUCACAGCUGACACCAGAGAAGGAUCUGACUGUGGCUGGACCCGGAUCUCCACAUUCUGGACCUAAAGCUCUUGUGUGUCUCAUGUGUCUCUGCUGCCCUCUGCUGGACUGACAUCUGGAACAGUCAGUUGAACAGUCCUGUCACUUUGUCACAGCUUGUUUUAUCUGUUUGUUUUUUUUUACUCCUCACUCUUUAAGUUAUUUUGGGUGGUCUCAUCCGUGAACUCCUGACAGUCCACUGUACACAGAUGGACCCUGAGGCAUCUCCUCAAAAGUGCAGCCCAAACAUUUGGAGUUUUCUCUGCUGGCUGCAGUAUGCCUAUCAAGCCGUCCUCCAUGUAAACAGAUGAAAUAUGGAACAAAACAAUAAAAAUUAAAAUUCACAUUAAAGGUGGUGUAGUCAUGAUCUGAGGAAGUUCCAGUUUUUAGGAGAAAUCUUGAAUGUAAACUCUACCCCUACCAACCAGUUUUCCCCUCAGCUCCUCCUCUCCCCUCAAGCCCCGCCCACAAACAGACGCUCCUGCUCGCUCGUAUCGUUCCAGUUAAAUUCAGAUAUAAUGCAGAUAAAUCCUUCAGAUCAUUACAAAUGGGGCCCAGUCAAGGUGAAAGUCAAAAGCAUUGGUGCUACUGUAGAUGCCAACAGACUACCAGCAAACACAAUGUUUGCAGGACUUCUACAACGAGGAUAAAGUGACAUAGUCCAGGACCCGAGGGAGGACAGUUUAGCGAUGGCGCUACAACACGCUACAGCAGGUCCGUUUGACAAGAAACACUUCUGUUACAGACACUUGUCUUACUUUGUUAAAGCGGUUUACCUGUCCAGCAGAAAGGUUACAGGGUCACCAAGAUCCCCAAGCGUCCCCCAUGGUUUAUGUUGACCCGGCUUUUUAGCUCUUGUCUGAUCUACCUCCGUUUUAAGCGCCCGUUAUUCCUCCAGAGUCGGCAGUCGUGGCCAAAGGAGGAUUCAGACAAUUUUCCGAACUUUCUGGUUGGUUUCUACUGUCCGAUAUUGUAGCACGCUAACUUUGUUUGGGCUCCUGAACGACACGGGGGAGCAGCGUCUGCCUCACAACCAAUCAGGUUAGAGGAGGUGGAGAACGUCUUUGUUUACAGUCAGAAAGAGCGGACCGCUCAAAAAUGUUCAAAUGUUGACGACACAGACAUAAGAGAACACAGAGAUAUCGAUAUAUUACCAAAUGUCAUCAAUAACUAAUAACUAUUGACUGAUAUUAGAAGAUUUUUUGUAUUAAAACCACAAAAUAAAAAGAUGCUUCUUUAACAGAAUCCUGCCUACUCCACCUUUAAAUCAUGAGGAUGAGGUGUCUUCAGGUAAAAUAAGACGAUUGUUAAAGGACUCAAAGAAGAGAACCGAGAAAACCCAUCAGAAAAACCUGAGCAGCUCUGUUCCUGGACAGCAGGUCUCUCCGUGGUCAUGAUGAUCAUGAUGGAAAGCUGCUGUCUUAUAAAUGAGAAAAAGUCCGUUUGUAGUCGAUGGUUCUUACUGCUGAGGCGAGGUUACCUGAUGAGGAUCUCAUCACCAGAGAGGAUGGUCCUCAAAAGACUUGAUGAUUUAAUUCUCAUCAUUUUAAAACCUCGUUAUUUAAAAAAUAAAUCUAAAUCUUUGAUCUUACACUGAUGUUUAUUUCCUUCCUUCUGACCUGGUCUUCUCAGUGGGGUGUGUGGGUCUUCAGGGUCACUCUUUGGUUCUGUUUUCUUCAGGUUCUCACACAAACAAAGAUAAACCACUUAAACUGAUCCCACAUCCGUUUGUUUGC
This 2404-nucleotide long non-coding RNA is filed under the name Xyrichtys novacula (pearly razorfish). The record is from RNAcentral. Lineage: Eukaryota; Metazoa; Chordata; Actinopteri; Labriformes; Labridae.